Molecule: ribosomal RNA, 322 nt
Filed under: uncultured eukaryote
Lineage: Eukaryota
Description: partial 18S ribosomal RNA
Rfam family: Eukaryotic small subunit ribosomal RNA
Source: RNAcentral
CCCUUAGAUGUUCUGGGCCGCACGCGUGCUACACUGAGUGGAUCAGCGGGUCAGGUUGCGCGAAAGCGUUUCCUAAUCUUUAAAUCCGCUCGUGAUGGGGAUUGACGGUUGCAAUUUUCUGUCAUGAACGAGGAAUACCUUGUAAGCGCGGGUCAUCAUCCCGCGCUGAAUACGUCCCUGCCCUUUGUACACACCCCCCGUCGCUCCUACCGAUUGAGUGGUCCGGUGAGGCUUUGGGAUCUGAGCGGAAAGAGCGUUUCGCUGUUUCUGCUCGGAAAACUCAGUCGAACCUUAUCAUUUAGAGGAAGGAGAAGUCGUAACA